This 505-nucleotide ribosomal RNA is filed under the name uncultured bacterium. Its description in RNAcentral is "partial 16S ribosomal RNA". It matches the Rfam family "Bacterial small subunit ribosomal RNA", at positions 28 to 507 of the family's 1533-position model. The record is from RNAcentral.
GACGAACGCUGGCGGCGUGCCUAAUACAUGCAAGUAGAACGCACAGUUUAUACCGUAGCUUGCUACACCAUAGACUGUGAGUUGCGAACGGGUGAGUAACGCGUAGGUAACCUGCCUGGUAGCGGGGGAUAACUAUUGGAAACGAUAGCUAAUACCGCAUAAUAUUGAUUAUUGCAUGAUAAUUAAUUGAAAGGUGCAAUUGCACCACUACCAGAUGGACCUGCGUUGUAUUAGCUAGUAGGUGAGGUAACGGCUCACCUAGGCGACGAUACAUCGCCGACCUGAGAGGGUGAUCGGCCACACUGGGACUGAGACACGGCCCAGACUCCUACGGGAGGCAGCAGUAGGGAAUCUUCGGCAAUGGACGAAAGUCUGAACGAGCAACGCCGCGUGAGUGAAGAAGGUUUUCGGAUCGUAAAGCUCUGUUGUAAGAGAAGAACGGGUGUGAGAGUGGAAAGUUCACACUGUGACGGUAUCUUACCAGAAAGGGACGGCUAACUACGUG